RNAcentral lists this ribosomal RNA (1507 nucleotides) under Helicobacter pylori. RNAcentral describes it as "bacterial SSU rRNA". It matches the Rfam family "Bacterial small subunit ribosomal RNA". Lineage: Bacteria; Pseudomonadati; Campylobacterota; Epsilonproteobacteria; Campylobacterales; Helicobacteraceae. The record is from RNAcentral.
UUUAUGGAGAGUUUGAUCCUGGCUCAGAGUGAACGCUGGCGGCGUGCCUAAUACAUGCAAGUCGAACGAUGAAGCUUCUAGCUUGCUAGAAUGCUGAUUAGUGGCGCACGGGUGAGUAACGCAUAGGUCAUGUGCCUCUUAGUUUGGGAUAGCCAUUGGAAACGAUGAUUAAUACCAGAUACUCCCUACGGGGGAAAGAUUUAUCGCUAAGAGAUCAGCCUAUGUCCUAUCAGCUUGUUGGUAAGGUAAUGGCUUACCAAGGCUAUGACGGGUAUCCGGCCUGAGAGGGUGAACGGACACACUGGAACUGAGACACGGUCCAGACUCCUACGGGAGGCAGCAGUAGGGAAUAUUGCUCAAUGGGGGAAACCCUGAAGCAGCAACGCCGCGUGGAGGAUGAAGGUUUUAGGAUUGUAAACUCCUUUUGUUAGAGAAGAUAAUGACGGUAUCUAACGAAUAAGCACCGGCUAACUCCGUGCCAGCAGCCGCGGUAAUACGGAGGGUGCAAGCGUUACUCGGAAUCACUGGGCGUAAAGAGCGCGUAGGCGGGAUAGUCAGUCAGGUGUGAAAUCCUAUGGCUUAACCAUAGAACUGCAUUUGAAACUACUAUUCUAGAGUGUGGGAGAGGUAGGUGGAAUUCUUGGUGUAGGGGUAAAAUCCGUAGAGAUCAAGAGGAAUACUCAUUGCGAAGGCGACCUGCUGGAACAUUACUGACGCUGAUUGCGCGAAAGCGUGGGGAGCAAACAGGAUUAGAUACCCUGGUAGUCCACGCCCUAAACGAUGGAUGCUAGUUGUUGGAGGGCUUAGUCUCUCCAGUAAUGCAGCUAACGCAUUAAGCAUCCCGCCUGGGGAGUACGGUCGCAAGAUUAAAACUCAAAGGAAUAGACGGGGACCCGCACAAGCGGUGGAGCAUGUGGUUUAAUUCGAAGAUACACGAAGAACCUUACCUAGGCUUGACAUUGAGAGAAUCCGCUAGAAAUAGUGGAGUGUCUAGCUUGCUAGACCUUGAAAACAGGUGCUGCACGGCUGUCGUCAGCUCGUGUCGUGAGAUGUUGGGUUAAGUCCCGCAACGAGCGCAACCCCCUUUCUUAGUUGCUAACAGGUCAUGCUGAGAACUCUAAGGAUACUGCCUCCGUAAGGAGGAGGAAGGUGGGGACGACGUCAAGUCAUCAUGGCCCUUACGCCUAGGGCUACACACGUGCUACAAUGGGGUGCACAAAGAGAAGCAAUACUGCGAAGUGGAGCCAAUCUUCAAAACACCUCUCAGUUCGGAUUGUAGGCUGCAACUCGCCUGCAUGAAGCUGGAAUCGCUAGUAAUCGCAAAUCAGCCAUGUUGCGGUGAAUACGUUCCCGGGUCUUGUACUCACCGCCCGUCACACCAUGGGAGUUGUGUUUGCCUUAAGUCAGGAUGCUAAAUUGGCUACUGCCCACGGCACACACAGCGACUGGGGUGAAGUCGUAACAAGGUAACCGUAGGUGAACCUGCGGUUGGAUCACCUCCUUUCUA